UCUAACUCGUCGGUAGUCAUCGU
RNAcentral lists this microRNA (23 nucleotides) under Caenorhabditis elegans. RNAcentral describes it as "cel-miR-63-5p". Its record names the gene cel-miR-63-5p. Lineage: Eukaryota; Metazoa; Nematoda; Chromadorea; Rhabditida; Rhabditidae. The record is from miRBase by way of RNAcentral.